AAAGGCCACAAAAACGGGUGGGUUAUAGCCUUGGGGGGUGGGGCUGGCCAACUUCGUCCGCCGGACUCGGAAUGGCGCGAGACUUUGCGAGGCGCCUCCGUGUGCCAAAAAUAGGCAGCGGGCGCAGCCGCGUCUAAAAAUAACCGCCCGAAGGCCGGGGCGCCAAGUUCGUCCAGCGGAAAAAGCCCACAAAAAUGGGUGGGCUAUAGCCUUGGGGCGUGGGGCUGCCCAACUUCGUCCGCCGGACUCGGAAUGGCGCUAGACUUUGCGAGGUGCCUCCGUGUGCAAAAAACUGGCCGCGGGCACAGCCGCGCCCAAAAAUAACCGCCCGAAGGCCGGGGCGCCAAGUUCGUCCAGCGGAAAAAGGCCACAAAAACGGGUGGGCUAUAGCCUUGGGGGGUGGGGCUGGCCAACUUCGUCCGCCGGACUCGGAAUGGAGCGAGAUUUUGCAAGGCAUCUCCGUGUGCCAAAAAUAGGCCGUGGCAAAAGCCGCGCCCAAAAAUAACCGCCCGAAGGCCGGGGCGCCAAGUUCGUCCAGCGGAAAAACGCCACAGAAACGGGUGGGCUAUAGCCUUGGGGGGUGGGGCUGGCCAACUUCGUCCGCCGGACUCGGAAUGCCGCGAGACUUUGCGAGGGACCUCCGUGUGCCAAAAAUAGGCCGCGGGCAAAGCCGUACCCAAAAAUAACCGCCCGAAGGCCGGGGCGCCAAGUUCGUCCAGCGGAAAAAGGCCACAAAAACGGGUGGGCUAUAGCCUUGGGGGGUGGGCUGGCGACCUUCGUCCGCCUCAAUCGGAAUGGCGCGAGACUUUACGAAGGGCCCCCGUGUGCCANNNNNNNNNNNNNNNNNNNNNNNNNNNNNNNNNNNNNNNNNNNNNNNNNNNNNNNNNNNNNNNNNNNNNNNNNNNNNNNNNNNNNNNNNNNNNNNNNNNNNNNNNNNNNNNNNNNNGCUGGCCAACUUCGUCCGCCGGACUCGGAAUGGCGCGAGACUUUGCGAGGCACCUCCGUGUGCUAAAAAUAGGCCGCGGACACAGUCGCGCCCAAAAAUAACCGCCCGAAAGCCGGGGCGCCAAGUUCGUCCAGCGUAAAAAGGCCGCAAAAACGGGUGGGCUAUAGCCUUGGGGGGUGGGGCUGGCCAACUUCGUCCGCCGGACUCAGAAUGGCGCGACACUUUACGAGGUGCCUCCGUGUGCAUAAAAUAGGCCGCGGGCACAGCCGCGCCCAAAAAUAACCGCCCGAAGGCCGGGGCGCCAAGUUCGUCGAGCGGAAAAAGCCCACAAAAAUGGGUGGGCUAUAGCCUUGGGGGGUGGGGCUGGCCAACUUCGUCCGCCGGACUCGGAAUGGCGCUAGACUUUACGAGGCGCCUCCGCAUGCCAAAAUUAGGCGCGGCCGCUGCCGCGCACAAAAAUAACUGCCCGAAGGCCGGGGCGCCAAGUUCGUUCAGCGGAAAAUGGCCACAAAAACGGGUGGGCUAUAGCCUUGGGGGGUGGGGCUGGCCAACUUCGUGCGCCGGACUCGGAAUGACGCGAGACUUUGCGAGGCGCCUCCGUGUGCUAAAAAUAGACCGCGGGCACAGCCGCGCCCAAAAAUAACCGUCCGAAAGCCGGGGCGCCAAGUUCGUCCAGCGGAAAAAGCCCACAAAAACGGGUGGGCUAUAGCCUUGGGGGGUUGGGCUGGCCCACUUCGUCCGCCAGACUCGGAAUGGCGCGAGACCUUGCGAGGCAUCUCCGUGUGCCAAAAAUAGGCCGCGGGCACAGCCACGCCCAAAAAUAACUGCCCGAAGGCCGGGGCGCCAAGUUCGUCCAGCGGAAAAAGCCCACAAAAACGGGCGGACUAUAGCCUUGGGGGGUGGUGCUGGCCAACUUCGUCCGCCGGACUCGGAAUGGCGCGAGACUUUGUGAGGCACCUCCGUGUGCCAAAAAUAGGCCGCGGGCAGAGUCGUACCCAAAAAUAACUGCCCGAAAGCCGGGGCGCCAAGUUUGUCCAGUGGAAAAAGGCCACAAAAACGUGUUGGCUAUAGCCUUGGGGCGGUCGGCUGGCCAACUUCGACCGCCGGUCUCGGAAUGGCGCUAGACUUUGGGAGGUGCCUCCAUGUGCAAAAAACUGGCCGCGGGCACAGCCACGCCCAAAAAUAACCGCCGGAAGGCCGGGGCGCCAAGUUCGUCCAGCGGAAAAAGGCCACAAAAACGGGUGGGCUAUAGCCUUGGGGGGUGGGGCUGGCCAACUUCGUCCGCCGGACUCGGAAUGGAGCGAGAUUUUGCAAGGCAUCUCCGUGUGCCAAAAAUAGGCCGUGGCAAAAGCCGCGCCCAAAAAUAACCGCCCGAAGGCCGGGGCGCCAAGUUCGUCCAGCGGAAAAACGCCACAGAAACGGGUGGGCUAUAGCCUUGGGGGGUGGGGCUGGCCAACUUCGUCCGCCGGACUCGGAAUGCCGCGAGACUUUGCGAGGGACCUCCGUGUGCCAAAAAUAGGCCGCGGGCAAAGCCGUACCCAAAAAUAACCGCCCGAAGGCCGGGGCGCCAAGUUCGUCCAGCGGAAAAAGGCCACAAAAACGGGUGGGCUAUAGCCUUGGGGGGUGGGCUGGCGACCUUCGUCCGCCUCACUCGGAAUGCCGCGAGACUUUACGAGGGGCCCCCGUGUGCCAAAAAUAGGCCGCAGGCAAAGCCGCACCCAAAAAUAACCGCCCGAAGGCCGGGGCGCCAAGUUCGUCCAGCGGAAAAAGGCCACAAAAACGGGUGGGCUAUAGCCUGGGGGGGUGGGGCUGGCCAACUUCGUCCGCCGGACUCGGAAUGGCGCGAGACUUUGCGAGGCACCUCCGUGUGCUAAAAAUAGGCCGCGGACUCAGUCGCGCCCAAAAAUAACCGCCCGAAAGCCGGGGCGCCAAGUUCGUCCAGCGUAAAAAGGCCACAAAAACGGGUGGGCUAUAGCCUUGGGGGGUGGGGCUGGCCAACUUCGUCCGCCGGACUCAGAAUGGCGCGACACUUUACGAGUCGCCUCCGCGUGCCAAAAAUAGGCCGCGGGCACAGCCGCGCAUAAAAAUAACCGCCCGAAGGCCGGGGCGCCAAAUUCGUCCAGCGGAAAAAGGCCACAAAAACGGGUGGGCUAUAGCCUUGGGGGGUGGGGCUGGCCAAAUUCGUCCGCCGGACUCGGACUGGCGCGAGACUUUACGAGCGGCCUCUGUGUGCCAAAAAUAGGUGCGGCCACUGCCGCGCACAAAAAUAACUGCCCGAAGGCCGGGGCGCCAAGUUCGUUCAGCGGAAAAUGGCCACAAAAACGGGUGGGCUAUAGCCUUGGGGGGUGGGGCUGGCCAACUUCGUGCACCGGACUCGGAAUGGCGCGAGACUUUGCGAGGCGCCUCCGUGUGCUAACAAUAGGCCGCGGUCACAGUCGCGCCCAAAAAUAACCACCCGAAAGCCGGGGCGCCAAGUUCGUCCAGCGGAAAAAGCCCACAAAAACGGGUGGGCUAUAGCCUUGGGGGGUUGGGCUGGCCCACUUCGUCCGCCAGACUCGGAAUGGCGCGAGACCUUGCGAGGCAUCUCCGUGUACCAAAAAUAGGCCACGGGCACAGCCACGCCCAAAAAUAACCGCCCGAAGGCCGGGGCGCCAAGUUCGUCCAGCGGAAAAAGCCCACAAAAACGGGCGGGCUAUAGCCUUGGGGGGUGGUGCUGGCCAACUUCGUCCGCCGGACUCGGAAUGGCGCAAGACUUUGUGAGGCGCCUCCGUGUGCCAAAAAUAGGCCGCGGGCAGAGUCACACCCAAAAAUAACCGCCCGAAAGCCGGGGCGCCAAGUUUGUCCAGUGGAAAAAGGCCACAAAAACGGGUUGGCUAUAGCGUCGGGGGGUGGGGCUGGCCAACUUCGACCGCCGGUCUCGGAAUGGCGCUAGACUUUGGGAGGUGCCUCCAUGUGCAAAAAACAGGCCGUGGGCACAGCCAUGCCCAAAAAUAACCGCCCGAAGGCCGGGGCACCAAGUUCGUCCAGCGGAAAAAGGCCACAAAAACAGGUGGGCUAUAGCCUUGGGGGGUGGGGCUGGCCAACUUCGUCCGCCGGACUCGGAAUGGAGCGAGACUUUGCAAGGCAUCUCCGUGUGCCAAAAAUAGGCCGCGGCAAAAGCCGCGCCCAAAAAUAACCGCCCGAAGGCCGGGGCGCCAAGUUCGUCCAGCGGAAAAACGCCACAGAAACGGGUGGGCUAUAGCCUUGGGGGGUGGGGCUGGCCAACUUCGUCCGCCGGACUCGGAAUGUCGCGGGACUUUGCGAGGCACCUCCGAAGGCCAAAAAUAGGCUGCGGGCAAAGCCGCACCCAAAAAUAACCGCCCGAAGGCCGGGGCGCCAAGUUCGUCCAGCGGAAAAAGGCCACAAAAAAGGGUGGGCUAUAGCCUUGGGGGGUGGGCUAGAGCCUUGGGGGUUGGGCUGGCCACCUUCGUCCGCCUCUUUCGGAAUGCCCCCAGACUUUACGAGGGGCCUCCGUGUGCCAAAAAUAGGCCGCGGGCAAAGCCGCGCCCAAAAAUAACCGCCCGAAGGCCGGGGCGCCAAGUUCGUCCAGCGGAAAAAGGCCACAAAAACGGGUGAGCUAUAGCCUUGGGGGGUGGGGCUGGCCAACUUCGUCCGCCGGACUCGGAAUGCCGCCAGACUUUCCGAGGGGCCUCCGUGUGCCAAAAAUAGGCCGCGGGCAAAGCCGCGCCCAAAAAUAACCGCCCGAAGGCCGGGGCACCAAGUUCGUCCAGCGGAAAAAGGCCACAAAAACGGGUGGGCUAUAGCCUUGGGGGGUGGGGCUGGCCUACUUCGUCCGCCGGACUCGGAAUGCUGCGAGACUUUGCGAGGGACCUCCGUGUGCCAAAAAUAGGCCGCGGGUAAAGCCGCACCCAAAAAUAACCGCCCGAAGGCCGGGGCGCCAAGUUC
Molecule: long non-coding RNA, 4891 nt
Filed under: Citrus x clementina
Lineage: Eukaryota; Viridiplantae; Streptophyta; Magnoliopsida; Sapindales; Rutaceae
Description: Citrus clementina (C. clementina) long non-coding RNA (CCLE_LNC005030)
Source: RNAcentral